AUUAAACGCUGGCGGCAUGCCUUACACAUGCAAGUCGAACGGCAGCACGGGGGCAACCUUGGUGGCGAGUGGCGAACGGGUGAGUAAAGCAUCGGAACGUGCCCUGGAGUGGGGGGAUAACGUAGCGAAAGUUACGCUAAUACCGCAUAUUCUGUGAGCAGGAAAGCAGGGGAUCGCAAGACCUUGCGCUCUGGGAGCGGCCGAUGUCGGAUUAGCUAGUUGGUGGGGUAAAGGCCUACCAAGGCGACGAUCCGUAGCGGGUCUGAGAGGAUGAUCCGCCACACUGGGACUGAGACACGGCCCAGACUCCUACGGGAGGCAGCAGUGGGGAAUUUUGGGACAAUGGGCGAAAGCCUGAUCCAGCCAUGCCGCGUGAGUGAAGAAGGCCUCGG
Molecule: ribosomal RNA, 392 nt
Filed under: uncultured bacterium
Lineage: Bacteria
Description: bacterial SSU rRNA
Rfam family: Bacterial small subunit ribosomal RNA
Source: RNAcentral